CGGCUCAAAAAAAAAAAAAAAUUAAAAACUGGCCAGGCACAUUGGCACACGGCUCACACCUGUAAUCCCAGCACUUCGAGAGGCCAAGGCAGGAAGAUCCCUUGAGCCCAGGAAACCUGUCUGGGCAAUAUAGUAAGACCUAUAUAGUAAGACCUUGUCUCUCCAAAAAAAAAAAAAAAAAAAAAUAUGAUUUAAAAAAUUACCUGGGCAUGGUAGUGUGCACCUGUAGUCCCAGCUAUUCAGGAGGCUGAGGUGGGAGGAUCAUUUGCUUGGGAGGCAGCAGUUUCAGUGAGCCAAGAGAACACUACUGAACUCCAGCCUGGGUGACAGGGAGACCCUGUCUGAAAGAAAAAAAAUUAAAAACUAAAGACACAAUUUGAGCUACUAGAAAGGAAAACAACAAUGCCUGGUAUAAAAUAUGCACUGGAUUGAAUAACCAGAUCAGAUAUUUCAGGAAGAAAUUAAGACCCAGCAAUAGAAAUGACAUAAUUUUAAAUACAUGCACUUAACAAAUUGCCAAAAUACGUCAUGCAAGAACACACAGAACUGCAAGGUGACACAGAAAAAUUCACAGUUAACUGAAGACUUCAACACUUCUCAGUAAUACAAAGAUCCAACAGGCGUAGAUUCAGUAAACAUUCCUUUUUUAUUUUAAAAUACUUCACAAAGAUUGUAUAUGUUCAUGAUGUACAGUUAUGUUUUGAUGUAUAUAUAUACAUUCUGUAAUGGUUACCACAGUCAAAUUAACACAUUGAUGACCACCCAUGCUGUACAUUAAAUCUCCAGAACGUGUUCACCUUACAACUUGGUUUUUAACCUUUGACCAACAUUUCUCCAUUUUCCCUACCUUCUGGACUCUAGUAACCACCGUUCCUCCCUCUGCCUCGGAGUUUAAGUUUUUAAUAUUCCACAAUUAAGUGGGAUCAUGAAGUAUUUGCCUAUGUCUGCCUUAUUUUAUAGUGUCCACCAGGUUUAUUCAUGUGACAAAUGUCAGGAUUUCCUUUUUACGGCUGAGUAAUAUUCUGUUUAAAUAUACAUCACACUUUCUUUAUUCAUCCAUUAAUGGAUGCUAAGUUUGUUUCCAUAUGUUGACUAUUGUGAAUAAUGCUGUAAUGAACAUAUGCGAGUGGCAGAUAUCUCUUUGAAAUACUGAUCACUGCCUUUGGUCAUAUAUGCAUAUACCCAGGAGUGAGACUGUUGGAUCACAUGGUAGUUUUUGUUUUUUUUUGCAGAACCUCCAUAUUGUUUUUCACAAUGGCUGUACCAAUGUACAUUCCCACCAACAGUAUACAAAGCUUCCUUUUUCUCUGUACUCUAACACUAAUCUCUCUUGAUAGUACCCAUCCUUGCAUGUAUGAGGUAACAUGUAAUUGUGGUUUUGAUUUGAAUUUCUCUAAUGAUUAGUGAUAUUAAGUCCCUUUUCAUUUGCUUUCCGGCCAUUUGUAUGUCUUCUUUGAAAAAAAUGUCCACUCAGGGUUUUUAAAUUUAUUUUUUCUUAUUGUUUUUACCCCUUGCAGAAACCAGUCUAUUUUUCUUAAUUUGUUAGUUUUUUGAGAUGAGAGGGGUCUCAUUAUGUUACCCAGGUUGGUGUCGAACUCCUGGAUUCAAACGAUCUUCCUGACUCACACUUCUGAGUACUGGGACUACAAUUGGGCACCACUAUGCCCAGCUAAUAAUUUAUUUAUUUAUUUAUUUUAGACAUGAAGUCUCCCUAUGUCGCCCAGGUUGGUCCCAGAUUCCUAGCCUCAGGCACUCCUCCCAAGUACGUGGAAUUAUAGGCAUAAGCCACGGCACCUGGCCUCCUAAACUUAUGAGUGUUCCAACUUGUAAUAGACUUUGAAACAUAUACAACUUGUUGGUGCGUCCCAGGCCAAUCCUCACAUUUGGCUUUGAUUAGCCUUUAUCAAAUUAUUCUGCCUCAACAGACUUAAUUUUGGUCAACAAUUUAACUGAGGUACUUUAUAGAUAACAGUGUCCAUUAUACCACAGGAAAUACUUCAGUGUUUAAAUAAUGAGAAAAGCAAAAGCUGUUCCCAAUGACAGCUGCUCCCCAACUCACCACAAGGCGAAGUCUUACCCUGUUGAAAACUGUAACAAACCUCCAUCAGACAAAGCUACCAGGUGACCAUAAUGGAUCAAAAUGAAAUUCUGUAACCAUGUCUCCGAUAACCUAAAAGAAAACAGACUCCAAACUUUAAAAAUGACCAGAAAUCUCCUAAUAUGACUUGUGCUUCUUAUGAAUUAGUGUUAGUGCCACUCUAUUCUUUCUGCCUCCUAGAUAAGAACUAUUAGAAUUUUCCAAGGAUGGAAUUGAGUUCACCUAACAGCAUCCAAUACAAACACCUCACUUUGUUGAAUGGCAAUGAAAUCACCUAAAAGAAACACAAAUCCUAUAAGAAGUCCUCUUGAGCACCCUCUUAUGGAUAACCCUCCGUCAUUGAUGCUUUGUGUUCAUCCUUAUUACAACUCUUUACAUGCCACUCUUUGACUAUAGGUGUGAUUCUAGUGGUCUCUGGCAAGAUGGCACAGACAAAAGCAUGCUUUGUUCCUGUGGUAUUCUAAAUGAGAAAUUAGAUUCAUGAGAAAAAUUGUGACCAUGUAAGAAUUUUAAAAAAUUUUUUCCUUUACAUUUUCUUUAACAUUUUUUAAAGAAAAAAAGUACUUGGACUUAUAUGCAAAUGGUAAUACUGACUCAUUAUUUAGAAUGUAUAAUGAAUAACCUGACAAAAUUACAAAGUUGACCUGAAAAUGCAUAAUUGCAAUGGGAUAUUUUAAUAUAUAUUCUCAGGUAAUGGAAAAUAUUAAUACAAUAGUUGUUAGUAUAC
This 2825-nucleotide long non-coding RNA is filed under the name Homo sapiens (human). RNAcentral describes it as "non-protein coding lnc-ZNF136-2:1". The record is from RNAcentral. Lineage: Eukaryota; Metazoa; Chordata; Mammalia; Primates; Hominidae.